CAGUAGCCGCGGGAAUACGUAGGGUGCAAGCGUUAAUCGGAAUUACUGGGCGUAAAGCGUGCGCAGGCGGUUAUAUAAGACAGAUGUGAAAUCCCCGGGCUCAACCUGGGAACUGCAUUUGUGACUGUAUAGCUAUAGUACGGCAGAGGGGGAUGGAAUUCCGCGUGUAGCAGUGAAAUGCGUAGAUAUGCGGAGGAACACCGAUGGCGAAGGCAAUCCCCUGGGCCUGUACUGACGCUCAUGCACGAAAGCGUGGGGAGCAAACAGGAUUAGAUACCCCCGUAGUCCCUGUCUCUUAUAC
Molecule: ribosomal RNA, 301 nt
Filed under: uncultured bacterium
Lineage: Bacteria
Description: partial 16S ribosomal RNA
Rfam family: Bacterial small subunit ribosomal RNA
Source: RNAcentral